GAUGAACGCUGGCGGCGUGCCUAAUACAUGCAAGUCGAACGCACAGCGAAAGGUGCUUGCAUCCUUCAAGUGAGUGGCGAACGGGUGAGUAACACGUGGAUAACCUACCUCAAGGUUGGGGAUAACAUUUGGAAACAGAUGCUAAUACCGAAUAAAACUUCGUAUCGCAUGAUACAAGGUUAAAAGGCGCUACGGCGUCACCUAGAGAUGGAUCCGCGGUGCAUUAGUAGUUGGUGGGUAAAGGCCUACCAAGACAAUGAUGCAUAGCCGAGUUGAGAGACUGAUCGGCCACAUUGGGACUGAGACACGGCCCAAACUCCUACGGGAGGCUGCAGUAGGGAAUCUU
Molecule: ribosomal RNA, 346 nt
Filed under: uncultured bacterium
Lineage: Bacteria
Description: bacterial SSU rRNA
Rfam family: Bacterial small subunit ribosomal RNA
Source: RNAcentral